GUACACACCGCCCGUCACACCAUGAGAGUUGGGAAUACCCGAAGCCUGUGAGCUAACUUUUAGAGGCAGCAGUCGAAGGUAGAAUCAAUGAUUGGGGUGAAGUCGUAACAAGGUACC
RNAcentral lists this ribosomal RNA (117 nucleotides) under uncultured bacterium. RNAcentral describes it as "partial 16S ribosomal RNA". It matches the Rfam family "Bacterial small subunit ribosomal RNA", at positions 1383 to 1500 of the family's 1533-position model. The record is from RNAcentral.